Molecule: non-coding RNA, 6445 nt
Organism: Coturnix japonica (Japanese quail)
Lineage: Eukaryota; Metazoa; Chordata; Aves; Galliformes; Phasianidae
Source: RefSeq, a predicted model, not a curated record
UUCUGCUCCUUUCAGGCUAUAAAACCCGACCACUCGAGAUGUUUCAGUCUCCCAGAAACAAGAAUGCAGUUCAGUUCUCCAACAUCACCUCCCAGUUCAGCCCAGUGAAUCAUCGUGCAGCCUGCCAGAGGGUUGUCUCUGAUGUUUUAAGCCUGCAAAAUCCUUCUUUAUUCCCUGGCUUCACUGGGUGUGUGCCAAACACAAACUGGAUGUUAAAUCAGAAGUGGCUGCAUCUCAGUGCAGGACAUGGUGGUGGACAAUGCAUUGAUCCCCAAUGCAGCCUUUGGUGCACAACAUGCUCUCAUUGGCUCCAAAUUCUUCCCCACUGUUCAGAGAGGCAACUGAAGGCAGGAGGAGUCUUGCAGUGGGUUCCCCAAGCAGGAAAACAUGAGCCAGGCUGUGCCAGAGCUGAAAGUCAGGAUGGCCCCUGGGCUGGAGCUGCUGUGGGAUGUUCCCAUCUAGAUGUCAGCUCUGCGGUCUGGGUGCAGGGAAUUAACCCAGACGUGGUUCCCAGGCUGGGGGAAGGGCCUAAUGAACAGAGACAGGAUAAAGAAGCAGGUAAGGGCUUCCUGUCUUUCAGGGCUCAGGAGGAAAUCCUGCAGCUGGUGAAUCUGGAUAUGAUUAGUGUCCAUUUCUCCCUGUGUAAUCAACCCAUCUGUUCAUCCCUGCGCAUUAGCAGCGCACACCCCACUGCAGGCAGAUGCCUCUCAGGCACUGCUUUUAUCUGUGCCUGCCAUGGCUGCUCCAUGCAGCCCAACAACACGGCUCAUUAUGCUGUCUCACUUGGUCGUGGAAGGGACCAAGCUUUCAGUCUUGCUCUGUAGAAACUCUGGUUAAAGUCAAUAGGUGCUGAUGCUGCUUCCUGAGGAGUCAUUCCACCUUCUUUCCCUUGGCAACCUUGCCCAACUAUGCAAAAACUUGUGUCAGCCCUGCAUUGGCUUGAAAACACAGGGCCAGAUGUCAGCCUGGGCUGAAAUGAGGUCAAAGAAGGAGCUAGCACGUGGAUCAAUCUGUUGUUGUAAUGCAAUGGUUCUUUAGGGUCUCUGGAAGGGUCAGGCUUGGUGGCACAGUCAAGACAAAAUCUAACAGCGACCAUUCCCAGCCCUGGUGUCCUUUAUACUCAAACAAUAUCAACAAGCUCUUGCUUGUGUCACAUUUUGUCACUGGGGCAUCUUGAGGGAUCUACCAUACUCAUUGUCAUCCAUACAUAGAAGAUAAAGACGGUCCUUACCCAAAGCAAAGCACACACUCAGCCCAGAUCUCUUGUGUGUGCUAAGCAAUCCAGGCACAAAGCUUCUGCCUUGUUCACAGAGAGCCAAAACCCAGCCAGAAACAAUCUGAGCCACGCAUCAGAGAUGAAAACAUCUUUGCUUUCAAGGGCCAUUUGUUGCUUAGCUUCUCAAUGCAACUUGUCAUCAUCCCCUGUUGCGUGGCUCAAGGCAGCACUUUGGGUCCUAGAUCCUCUGAUUUUUGUUUGCUUUCGAGUGCUGUGAUUUACCACUAAAGAAUAAAUGGAAAGCAAAAGAAAACAGCAGCUCAUGUUUGCAUAGGGCCUCCGUUGUUCUGUGCUCUGCCACUGCUGAAACAGAAGCAGUAAAUCCUGUUCUCUGGACAGAGAGGGGCUUUUGGGCAAUGGCUGCAUACAAGGCUGGGGAAGAUAAACAAGCAGAAAAAUGCUGCUUUUAGGAAAUGGCAGUGGAGGAUGGCCAACCCACGGACUGCUCAGAGCCAACACAGUGCCAUCAGUCAGCAAAGACUUACUGCUAUUAUCUCUCCGAGGCAUUUUUGCAUCAACAAAGAGGAAAGAGAUUGAUCUGUGUUAUGGUAUCUGUGGUCAAACUUGGCUGCAAUUAGGAAUAUGUAUGGUUUCGGAGUUGGAACAGGGGAAGUUUUGUCAUGAACUAUAGAAAAUGUGGGCAAACAACCUCUGUAACACCAACAGAACCAGGUUACAGCCUUCCCUAUGGGAAGUGAUCUCUGGAUGAGCUCAGGACUGACCAACAUCGAAACUAAUUUGGCUUAUGGAAUCACUUGCAGCAACAGCUUCAAAUUCAGUAUCUAAUGAGUCCCAGAGAUGUGGAAAAUGAAGCAGAGAUGUGGGACUCUGCUGAUUUGUGUUUCAGGUGAGCUCUAGCAUCAGUUUGAGCAAUGCCGGUAAGUUCAGCUCUUGUCUCUCUGGUAGAGGAGGAAGUGGCUGAUAAGAACCAGGAGCCCAUCCAUCCAAAGCCAGUGUCAGACCUUCAUGAAAUCUAUUGCCUCAAGCAAAUACGUUGUUCAAAAUACUGUUCAGUUAAUUAACAGAUUAACUAAUUAACCUUCCCACCAUCCCAGGUAGGGAGUAUCUGUCUCCCAGAGGAGCAAAAACAAAGGCAAAGUGACUCAGUAAGACUAGAUGCAGGAACUCAGCAAUGCAGUUGUGUUAAGUCUGGUGUUUUUCUUCCCAAAUCUUUUUGCUGUUGUACACCAUUCCCCCAUAGACAAAAACAGAGGAGGAGUCCUAAAGACUUCUGAGAAGGGGAUAUGGGGAGCAGUGCCACUGGAUGAGCCUGAAGAAGAAAAGAAUCAGCCCACAAAUAUACAGAGGAACAUUUGGGUUCACCCAUGUGCCUGCAUCAACUAAGGAAUAAAGCUGACACCCUUCCUCCCUGUUCAAAAGGAAAGUUUUUCUCAGCAUCAAAGGAAGAAAAUUCCUUUGCUUCUUACUCACAUUUUCAUCCCCUCUAAAAUUUAUGAGCCAGGAGCCAAAUGGUCAGUGUGGGGAGGAGGAGCAUCUGCAAUAAGGCAGUGGGGCUACAUUUGUAUGGGCUCACAUGGAGGGAAUAACCAGAAGGAGAAGACCUGAAGAGACUCCAGUAAACAGCCAGAGGGAACGCUUUGAUACUGAGGAAGUCCAAAGACACAAACACAUGAUGAUGAGCAGCUGACUGCCACAGCUGUACAACAUGGUAAGAACAAAUCCAGAGCUAAAGCACAAGGACUUUGGCUUGCAAGACCCCUGGCAGCAUCACAGACCCUGUCUGAAGAGCCCUCAUCUCAAACAGAAUUUGGCAGUCUUUUUUUCUCCCCAUCCAUCUCUGAUCCAAAGCCAAAAAGCAUCCUUUGUUCUAACUACCAUCAAACAACGAUCCUUGGCAGAAAGUAGACUCACACUGAAGGAUGACCACCAGCUCCUGCAUUUGGUAAUUAUUAUCUGGUCUACCACCAGUGCAGGCUGCAGAUUGGAGGCCAUGAGGACGUCCCCUCAUCAGUAGGCUUUGCUGUCCCAAACCCCACUGAAACAAACAAGACUUGGAUCUCUCAAAUACCUCCAAAGUUACCAAACUUUGUUGGCACAAAUAGCACAAACUCACCCUUGAAGGAGAUCUCACAGCUGCCCACCAAGCCUGCAUGGAAAGUCGGGACAAAUGCUGACAGAUGAUGCUCAACUUAAGAAGUAAUGCAUCCACAGCCAUUUUCACCUGGAGAUCUUAGGAUCAUCUGCAGGAAGUUGGGGAUAUAGUGAGAAACAGCAGUUAUGAGAAGUCUGAGCAGCCUUGGUUUGGCUGGUUUUAGUCACAAAGAGACCUCACCUACAUUGUGGACGAUGGGCAGGGUACAGGUGAUGCUCACACACUGCUCAGGAAUAUCAAAGAUGGCUUAUGUGGUUUGGUUUGGUUUGGUUUGGUUUGGUUUGGUUUGGUUUGGUUUGGUUUGGUUUGGUUUGGUUUGGUUUGGUUUGGAAGGGAAAGCAGAUGGUUCAUUCUUCAUAUCCAACCAUUGGGGAACCUGUAUCCCAAAGGCCUCGCUGGCUGCCCUGGGUUCUUCUCCCCCUCCCCACACUCUCCUGAGGGUGUUAUUCACACCAUUUCCUUCCCAUGAAAGUACAGGAGUUGGAUGUUACCAGGUUGGUUUCCAUUCUCCUGCCCUGCUCCCAAUUCACAGAGAACAACCCCACGGAGCUGGUCAUGGAGGUGCUGCCAGGACCUGGCAAUGACACGUAACCCCUUCCAGGACCUCAACCAGCUCACGUGUGCUUGAAACCCUGACCCACAGUCCCAUAUGUGGCCACUCAAGCCAAAGCAAGAGGCAGGGAGGACAGAACCGGGCAUCUCUGCCAAGCUGUUCCGUUCCCAUUGCAUCCAACCCUCCCUUUUCCCCUCCCUUCCCUUUCUUCCCUCCCAUCUCCAGUGAACAAAAUGGCUGCAUGGCCAUUUUGUUUUCAGCCUGGAAGGGGGAAGCGAGGACGCCGGGACUUGGCUCUUUCUUGGAGGAGGCUGCGGCCAUGUUGGAGCCCAACUCUCCCGUCUCGACGUGGCACCGGCUGUGGGAGGGAAAAAAAAAAGAGAGAGAGAGAGGAAAAAAAAAAAAAGGACCUUUUGGAAGGAGACCAAAGUCAGAGACAGAGAGUGGGCAGUUUUGGCAUAUGUUUGAGCAUUGAAAAUGCCUGGAAUUGCCAAAGCGAGCUUUUGUUGUGAGCAGGGUAAGGCUGCUGGGUGCACGCUGAGCCGCGGGGCUGCACGGUUACAGCCGGACGGAAAGUGAUUCUGCAUUUCCUUCAGUUGCUGGGAUGGCUUCACAGUUCGCAGUCGCGGCUCUUUCUUUGCUCCCAGGAUGGCAGAAAGGAAUGGAUUUCUGGUGAUAUAACGGGGAUCAGCUCUGCUGUGGGUCAGCAUUAGGGUGGUCUCACCUCUGCUGGAAGGGUUGCUGGACGUUUGGAGAGAUGCUGGGAGCAAAAAACAGGAGCAGGGGGAUCGCUGUCCUUGCAUAGAAAGGAGCCACUGAGCUAUCAGAGUCAGUACCUGGAUAAGGAUCAUCUUGUUGCACUAGAUGGCAAUGGUCCCAAGCUGUCCUUGAGGCUGAGGUAGUAGAUUGAAUAGUUGUGGAGUCCUAUCCUCCCUCUGAGCUAACUAUACAAUCUACUGUCUUUCCUAAGGAGACAGUCAGAUCUUCAGUUCAUCUGCUUCGACACAAAGCAUGGAGAUGGGUGGUGCAAGAAAUCCUGACCUUCCAUAAAGCCAAGGAAUCACACCAGACCUCUGCACUGCUCUGUGGAGGUGAGGUAGUAGGUUGUAUAGUUUGGUGGGAGGGAUUCUAUCCCAUUUCAGGUGAUAACUAUACAGUCUAUUGCCUUCCUUAAAGAGCAGCAGUACCACCGGAGGAGCGGCUGGAGCAAAACCAGCACAUUGCAGUGUUGAAUAACACAGUGGGUCUUCUCCUACAGCAUCCAGGAUUGUGCUAUUCCAGAGAAUAACUACAUAAUAUCUACAUAAAGAAAAACACAUCUCUCAUUUUAAGAGAAACAGUGACAUGAGCUGGCUUAGCCUGUGGACUCAAAGCCCUGUGAGCUGAUCAGAUUUGGGCUGGUUGGCCUCUGGAAGUGCUUUCUGGUUUUGGAUAAGUUCCCAGCUUUCCCAUGGGGCAGUUCUUUCUGAUUUGAUAAUCUCUAGCAACCCAACUCACAUGCAAAUCCUGCUGGAGAGAUUAGGGCUCCUAUGGAUUUACAUAGGAUAAGCCAGCAGUUCAGACCAAUGCUCCAUCCUUACUCAUGAGACAGGUGAGAAAGAGAGAUGAGCCAAAGGCAGCAAGUCCUAAACCUUCUUGUUCCUGCCAGGUAGGUGGCACUGACAUCAGACAUCUGCAGGAGAUGACAGCCUGCUUCAGAGCUCUGGCACUUGACAAGGGACAGGGAAUGGUUAUUUCUUCCCUUUGUGAGAAGCAGGUGGGACAACCCCUGUGCCACAUUCCAGAGUAAAUAGAAUCCAGAUGACAAGAGGGACUGUAACCCGAUGAGGGCUGCACCAGUUUCUCAAGACUGAAGGAUGUCUCGGGACAUUAUCACUGGCAUCUCAGUGCCAGGGAAACGUGUGAGAUCUGAGACACUGAGGAGCAAGGGCAAAGCGAGGGCACCUUCUCAGAUGAAUUUAGAGGCAGUAACAAAUCGGAGCCCUCAAAUUUCACCCUGGAAGCGACACGCGGGGCGACUCAAACCUGGCUGCUUGGGCUUAUGGGACUCCCAUCAGUGAAGCAGCUCAUUUAAGGCUCCUCUGCUUCUUGGGAUAGGGUGUAGCUUCAGCAAGGCUGGGACUGGACUUCCUCGGGCUGGGUAACAGCUGGAGGGUGGGGAUGCUGGAGUAUCUAGCAGCAGAGGAAUGCAGCCCUCUGCUCCGUACAUCUGGCUUUCCUCUUCUCCUGCCUCCUCAGGGGAAGGGCUUCUACCCCCAGCAUUGCUCACAAGGUACCAAAACAGCAGCACAACUAUGGGAACAGGGCAGCACAUCAGCUUCAUGUUUAAGAUGCAUCCCCUGGAGGAGGAUUCAUCCUGCGGGUCCCAAAUGAAAUCAGUUCAGUCCCCAUCCGCUGCACUGAUGUUAAUGCAGAGAAUUUUAAGCAGUGUGAGAUGAAAAGCACGAAUAAAACUCCACCAGAGACCCUCUUCUGUGAAAAUAAACUUGCUUUGACUAUUGUA